This 376-nucleotide ribosomal RNA is filed under the name uncultured bacterium. RNAcentral's name for it is "bacterial SSU rRNA". It matches the Rfam family "Bacterial small subunit ribosomal RNA", at positions 524 to 898 of the family's 1533-position model. The record is from RNAcentral.
UACAGAGGGUGCAAGCGUUAAUCGGAAUGACUGGGCGUAAAGGGUGCGUAGGUGGCUUUUUAAGUUAGAUGUGAAAUCCCUGGGCUUAACCUAGGAACUGCAUUUAAUACUGGGAAGCUAGAGUAUGGGAGAGGUAAGUGGAAUUUCCGGUGUAGCGGUGAAAUGCGUAGAUAUCGGAAGGAACACCAGUGGCGAAGGCGGCUUACUGGCCUAAUACUGACACUGAGGCACGAAAGCGUGGGGAGCAAACAGGAUUAGAUACCCUGGUAGUCCACGCCGUAAACGAUGAGAACUAGAUGAUGGGUGCGAUUAAGUACUUAGUAUCGAAGCUAACGCGUUAAGUUCUCCGCCUGGGGAGUACGGUCGCAAGAUUAAA